GUAGUCCACGCUGUAAACGAUGAGGACUAGAUGUUGGUAGGGGAACCUAUCAGUAUCGAAGCUAACGCGAUAAGUCUUCCGCCUGGGAAGUACGGCCGCAAGGUUGAAACUCAAAGGAAUUGACGGGGGCCCGCACAAGCGGUGGAGCAUGUGGUUUAAUUCGAUGCAACGCGAAGAACCUUACCUACUCUUGACAUCCUGCGAACCCUGAUGAGAGUUGGGGGUGCCGAAAGGAGCGCAGAGACAGGUGCUGCAUGGCUGUCGUCAGCUCGUGUUGUGAGAUGUUGGGUUAAGUCCCGUAACGAGCGCAACCCUUGUCCUUAGUUGCCAGCAUUUAGUUGGGGACUCUAAGGAGACUGCCGGUGAUGAACCGGA
RNAcentral lists this ribosomal RNA (375 nucleotides) under uncultured bacterium. RNAcentral describes it as "bacterial SSU rRNA". It matches the Rfam family "Bacterial small subunit ribosomal RNA", at positions 790 to 1167 of the family's 1533-position model. The record is from RNAcentral.